UUUGUAAAGCCACAGUCCAACAGAAUCCCAGAAUGUCAAGUGUACAAAACAGGAAACUUUCUGGUGAAAGUUCUGAUUUUUAAUAAUCUGAGUUUUGCCUGGCUGGUGUGGUUCAGUGGUUGGGCAUAGACCUAUGAACCAGGAGGUCACAGUUCAAUUCCUGGUCAGGGCAAAUGCCUGGGUUUUGGGCUCAAUCCCCAGUAGGGGGCAUGUGGGAGGCAGCCACUCAAUGAUUCUCUCUCAUCAUUGAUGUUUGUAUCUCUCUCCCUCUUCCUUCCUCUCUCUGAAAUCAAUACAAAUAUAUAUAUUUUUAAAAUCUGAGUUUUCUAGUUAGCUAAACAACCAAUGACCUGCCUGGGCAACAACAGUGUCCUCUGUUCCAUUCCUAAAGCGCAUCAAAAGUCUCCCAACAGUCCCCGGAGUCACCUGCCUAUCUCAUCAUUCUUAUCUUUCCAUUUCAAGGUUUCAACCAAGUCUUGCGGAUUCGGAGUAUCAAGUUCUGAGGACAUAAGGAGAUACAAUGACACCAAAGGCAGUGAGGAGCUGCUGGAGGUUUACAAGUAGUUCAGGUGAGUGGUCAGAUCUCUGUGAGACAACAGGAGCCCAGAAAAUUGAAAGGUGAGCAGCCUUCUGAAGGCCAGGACACUGGCUAAGAAACUCUUGCCUUACUCCAGGGAGAACGGAUAAGGGACCAAAGCUACUUCCAACUCUGAGGCAGUGGAACACAGAGGAGCUGACAGGUUUAAGAAUCUAGAGCAGGCAAUGGGUGCCUGAUAAAUGAUUUGAUGUUGGGGUGAAGGGAAAGGGAGAUGUUGUGGAAGACUCUAAAAAAGGUGAUUAAUUAUUUGUGAAACUAAGGGGAGAGUAAUGAAAUCAAUGGAUAUCAAGGGACUCAGGAGAAAAAAGAAGAUUAGGAAGGAAAAGAAUGGGGUAAAUUGCAGACUUGCUGAACUUGAGAUACUUGAUGGUCAAGCGAAGACAUCUACCUGGCAUUGGAGAUGAGGUCUGCAGUUCCAGAAACUGAUCUGGGACAGAUCUUAUAUUCUCCCACACAUACAAACAGAGUUUGGUUUUGGUUCCAGAGAUUGCAGAGCCAUUGUAAUUCCAAAGUGAUAGAACAAUACUCAUUCAGCAGAGGUGAUAAAAGCAUGAAAGCUAAUCUGGCAGCUGAAAAAGAUGGCCCAAUGCCAGACCGAACUGGGAUGUCUUCUGUGUUUUGUUUUGUUUGGUUUUUGAAGGUGUGUGUGUGCAAAUUUAUUUGCUUGUUGUUUGUUGUGGUCAUCUAGACAUUAGCUAACUGCCUUCUCCCAAAAAUGUACUUAAUUGCUAGGAUAUGGUAAAGACUUUCUAAUCACUGGCAUGACAUUUUGUGUUUGCCUCCAGGUGAGAUGAGUCGCCACUCGGGGGAAAGGUAGAAAUAAGGCAAUUACAAAAUUAAGUUAUGAAAUAUGUUGCUCUUCUUCUCUCUUCCAGGACUUGAUUAGAACUAGCAGGAGGCCUGUUUGAUAUCACUGUGCAGGGUGUGCACUGAACAAAACGAGGGAGUACAAUUCAUAUAUUAAACCUUGUAGAAAUGAAUAUCUUUUAGGACAAAUUUCAGGAAGAUGGAAGUAAAAUGCCUUGAGGAAGAGGCAUUUUUCUAAUUUGCACAAAGAUGCUGUCUGGACUAAUAGAAGCUUUCCUUUCCUGCUGAAGAUAGUUGGUUCACUGAGUCCUGGAGGUUGGGAAGUCCGACCAAGAUCAAGAUGCUGGCAGAUUCUGUGUCUGGUGAAGGCCCACUUGGCCAUCUUCCUGCGCCCUCACAGGGUGGAAAAGGGACUCCAAAGGAGGAAUAAGGUCCCAGGUCACCGGCAGUGGAGUGUUUGGGUUGACGACUCGUGCUCUGAUGAACCCCCGGGGAGAAGGCUGCACCCCUCCCAUCUUCCUUCUCGCCUUGGGUGUAAAUGAAGUUAAAAGGGCAUGUGACCUGGACGAGACCGCAUCCCCCCGGCGCUCACGGAAUACCGGGAACAGGUUACCACCCACAGCAGGAGCUGGGAAACUGGA
Myotis lucifugus (little brown bat) is the source of this 2046-nucleotide long non-coding RNA. RefSeq lists it as uncharacterized. The record is from RefSeq and is a predicted model, not a curated record. Lineage: Eukaryota; Metazoa; Chordata; Mammalia; Chiroptera; Vespertilionidae. The transcript has 3 exons.